AUCUAAUACUUUUUCUCUUUUUGCAAUUUGCAUGUCGGACCGAAAGCACCUCAUCAAUUGCCUACAUGUUUAGUGCCUAUUCGCUAGCGAAAAAUAUUCUCACCAAUCAGAAAGUGGUAUUUGUUGACGUAAAAAGAGGGAAUUUCAAGAUGGCGGCGACGAAGUUACUGGGCAAAGUGCAACGUUGAAGCAUUUGUUAGGGAGAUAAACGGAGUCCCAUUUUUUUGAUAAGAAUGACGUUCGUUUAAAUGGAAAUUAAUUGCCGAAAGAUGUUUUAUUUCGAGUUAAACAAGUCCGAGGAUAGUUAAAAUUUGAUAAAAGACCACCCUACCAACUGUCAACUUUAUCUAUACCCAAUUUAGAAAUUCCUGGCCUGAAGGAGGAAGGUAGAGAGAAAAAAAAAAAAGCGAAAGUAACUUGACAACCAAUCUGGAUAAGUUGAUGAACAUGCCAUGAAAAGAUAAUCUGUGUCAUACCUAGAAAAGAUUGAAGGGAUCCAUGUUGUCAUUGUUUUUUUUUCACAUUUUCCCAUCUAUUCCUCUACGUAAAGUAUUCUCUAAAUCGUUUAUUAUAAUUUUUAGUGAUCGAUGAGAAUACAUUGAAUUUUUAUGAAUCCAAAAAAUGUCAUAUAUACUUAAGAUCAAUAAGUGAUACUCCAAUGAGGAAGAAGAUUUGAAGAGAU
This is a long non-coding RNA of Centruroides sculpturatus (bark scorpion), 682 nucleotides long. RefSeq lists it as uncharacterized. Lineage: Eukaryota; Metazoa; Arthropoda; Arachnida; Scorpiones; Buthidae. The transcript is spliced from 3 exons. The record is from RefSeq and is a predicted model, not a curated record.